This 948-nucleotide long non-coding RNA is filed under the name Mus pahari (shrew mouse). RNAcentral describes it as "lncRNA (MGP_PahariEiJ_G0006228.1)". The record is from RNAcentral. Lineage: Eukaryota; Metazoa; Chordata; Mammalia; Rodentia; Muridae.
CACCCCACCCUGUACACUCUGUUACUUAGUCUGUUUUGGAGUUGCCUGGUUUCCCGAAGCAGAUCUAGCUCCUUGGGCAAUGAUGGUACACAGCGCAUGCUUGCCUAAAAAUCCAGUAUGGAACCUGCCGUCGGGAGACUGGUGAGGUACUGGGCUCAUGACCACCAGUCAGAGACAAGGAUAUUAGAGAUGGAGUUUGUGUUGGAUGACUUCAAGAACCAAUAUGAGAGAAGCACUAAUGUCCAUGGGCCCAGGCAUGGUGACACACACUUGUCCCAGGCCUUCGCAAGAAGAGGUAGGUUGAGCUCAGAGCCAGACUCAUCUGUGUAGCAAGCACAGGGCAGCCUGGGCUCCAUGGGGCAGCCUGGGCUCCAUAGAAGCCUGUCACAAAACAGCAACAGUAACAACAGCAGCAACAACAACAACAACAACAAACAAAUAAACAAAAACACCUCUACAAGAGCCACAUUUAAUUCCAUUGGCCACAGGCAAACCAAGGGAAGGUGGUGCACAACGGCCUGGCUUGAGAUGGAAACAGAAGGCCCCUUUGUCUGGAAACACAAUGAAUAAUGGACACCCCGUUGAAUGGCACAAGCAAUGGUCAGGUAUGACACUGCUUUUCCAAAAGACUAAAGCUUUGUGAUGGCAAGGUUAUUUUUCCUCCCGGCUCUGUUUUUCCUGGCUCUUGCCUCAGCCAUGGAAGUAGCUCUCACUGGGCUCUCCAAGGACAAUGGCAGCCCUUCCUAGGUCCUUCCAACCACCAAGGGCCCAGCAGCUCCAGCCUGGAAUACACAAAGGGGCUUUGUGGUUUCCCCAUGGAAAGGGGAUAGAGAGGACUUUGUAUAUGAGUCCCCAUUCCAGCAAUCACUGUCCCCUGAAGUACAUGAUGUGUCAGGGAACCACUGUUAACUUCUGUAAUGGAAAAAAAAAACUUUACUUUUUAUUUAA